GAUGAACGCUGGCGGCGUGCCUAAUACAUGCAAGUCGAGCGAACAGACGAGGAGCUUGCUCCUCUGACGUUAGCGGCGGACGGGUGAGUAACACGUGGAUAACCUACCUAUAAGACUGGGAUAACUUCGGGAAACCGGAGCUAAUACCGGAUAACAUGUUGAACCGCAUGGUUCAACAGUGAAAGACGGUCUUGCUGUCACUUAUAGAUGGAUCCGCGCCGCAUUAGCUAGUUGGUAAGGUAACGGCUUACCAAGGCAACGAUGCGUAGCCGACCUGAGAGGGUGAUCGGCCACACUGGAACUGAGACACGGUCCAGACUCCUACGGGAGGCAGCAGUAGGGAAUCUUCCGCAAUGGGCGAAAUCCUGACGGAGCAACGCCGCGUGAGUGAAGAAGGUCUUCGGAUCGUAAAACUCUGUUAUUAGGGAAGAACAAAUGUGUAAGUAACUAUGCACGUCUUGACGGUACCUAACCAGAAAGCCACGGCUAACUACGUG
RNAcentral lists this ribosomal RNA (497 nucleotides) under uncultured bacterium. Its description in RNAcentral is "partial 16S ribosomal RNA". It matches the Rfam family "Bacterial small subunit ribosomal RNA", at positions 28 to 507 of the family's 1533-position model. The record is from RNAcentral.